AUGGCGUUUGCGGCGGCGGGGAAGGAGAUGGGGCGAGCGUCCUACAUCCGGAUCAAGCACGGGGAGGAGCGGCGCGAGGCGUCCUGGAAGGAGUCCGAGGGCCGGGUCUUCUCCGCCACCACGCGCACCGAUGUUGCCGCGCGCCUUGGCGAGCUCCGCGACCAGAUCCUCGCCGGUUGCGCCUCCUUCACCUACCUCGCCGCACAGCACUCCGGCUGCUCCUCCGCCCGCCGCGGCGCGACCUAG
RNAcentral lists this ribosomal RNA (246 nucleotides) under Triticum aestivum (bread wheat). Its description in RNAcentral is "partial small subunit ribosomal RNA". The record is from RNAcentral. Lineage: Eukaryota; Viridiplantae; Streptophyta; Magnoliopsida; Poales; Poaceae.